RNAcentral lists this ribosomal RNA (493 nucleotides) under uncultured bacterium. Its description in RNAcentral is "bacterial SSU rRNA". It matches the Rfam family "Bacterial small subunit ribosomal RNA", at positions 28 to 507 of the family's 1533-position model. The record is from RNAcentral.
GAUGAACGCUAGCGGCAGGCUUAACACAUGCAAGUCGAGGGGCAGCAUGAGACGGAGAUUCGUCGAAGUCUUGAUGGCGACCGGCGCAAGGGUGCGUAACGCGUGAGCAACUUGCCCGUUUCUGGGGAAUAACCGGUGGAAACGCCGACUAAUACCCCAUAGUAUUGAGUUUAGGCAUCUUUACUCAAUUAAAGAAUUUCGGAAACGGAUAGGCUCGCGUGACAUUAGCUGGAUGGCGGGGUAACGGCCCACCAUGGCAACGAUGUCUAGGGGUUCUGAGAGGAAGGUCCCCCACACUGGAACUGAGACACGGUCCAGACUCCUACGGGAGGCAGCAGUGAGGAAUAUUGGUCAAUGGUCGGAAGACUGAACCAGCCAAGUAGCGUGAAGGAUGAAGGUUCUAUGGAUUGUAAACUUCUUUUAUACGGGAAUAAAACCUCCCACGUGUGGGAGCUUGUAUGUACCGUAUGAAUAAGCAUCGGCUAACUCCGUG